This 165-nucleotide microRNA precursor is filed under the name Manihot esculenta (cassava). Its description in RNAcentral is "miR11891 stem-loop (mes-MIR11891)". Lineage: Eukaryota; Viridiplantae; Streptophyta; Magnoliopsida; Malpighiales; Euphorbiaceae. The record is from miRBase by way of RNAcentral.
UUUCACUUCAAGAUCUAUACUUUAAUUUAUGUCAAAAUAAUAUAUUGUAAUAUUGCACCGUUAAUAAAUAACAACAAUUUCUAGAUACCCUUAGAAAUAUUGACCUACAUAUCAUAUCUCAAGGUACUAUUCUGACAUAAAUUGAACUAUAGACCUUGAAGUGAA